GCGUUGGUCUAUGCGUCUUCUUUUCUAGACAAAUAACCUUUCUCUCGAACAGGUUAGAUGUUAGAAUGGCGUGUUCUUGUGUUUGAACCGCAAAGAAUGUAGAUUUAAGAUGAAGAGAAUAAUGAUAUAAGCAAUAUACUUGUCUUGAACUCACAAACUCAUAGCUAUAGAUAGUAACUCAUUCGGCUUCCAUAACCCCAACUAAGAGAUUUAGUUACCCAUGAAUGCGAAGGAUAUCACGUUUUGCAUGGUGGAUGGCGUGAAUAGUAGGUGUUUGGCGUGUGGUUUUAGUGAUUCCGUAGCAAGUAACGAUUCUCUUGUUGUGGAAUUUAAGAGUAGAAGAAUGAAGAAUUGAGAAUGGGUUGUAGGAAGAUGUCUUAAUUGUAAGGAGAUGAAUGAAUUGUCAGAAUGUCUCCCUUCUUGAAAAUCUCUAACAUGAUAGGGUAUUUAUAAUACUCCUAUCCUACUCCUACUAAACUAAUAAAAUAAAUAACCAAAUCCUAAUAUACUAAUGAAAUCCUUGACCCAAUUGUACUAGGGUAAGGUUACAAAAUUAUAAUCCAAAUAGAAUGAUGAAACACAUAACCUAAUUGCACUAGGUUAAUGUAUUAUGGCAAAAAUCCAGCUUUGUGUCUGUAAGUCCCAAAGUCUUCAGAAAUGCUGUUUUAGCCCGGGACAGAUUUUCCAUGCAGCAGAUUUAGUCCUUUAUGCGUCCAGCUCCUUUCCAUCUCGUUUGUGAGCUUUCUUUUGCGUCAAGUAAGCCAUAAAUUGCUGUAUUUUGCAUCAUUUAUACCUGAAACUUUCCUAAUCACAUUUGUUAGCUCAUUUACAGGAAAAAGGACUAAAAGUGUACGAAAUAGAUAAUUAGUUCUCGAAACUAGGCUAAAAUAUGGGCAAAAUAUAUUGAUAUAGGCGCGUAAUUUCGCCUAUCAUCAACACCCCACACUUAGAGCUUUGUUCGUCCUCGAACAACAUAUCAUGUCCUUCUAAGCAUUGACUUAAGGUUUUUACAGAAACAACACAAAACAUUCUUCAAGACAAGCACAACAAUUAUCAACGAAGAGUAGCUUUCCGAUUAUAAGUAGAAACAAUUUAACCUCAAGCAUAGACUCGUGAUGGUGAUCAACUCGCAUGCAAACGUUUAAGGUACAUAGAAUCAUAUACAACUAUCCAAAACUCAUCAACCAUGUGUGUCUCACAAUAUAGUACCCAUAAUCACUCACAAGUAUAGCAUAUUUUUCAAACAUGGGCAGCAAAGUAUCCUUGCGCUCACUCUCACAAAGAAUUCAUAUGUAGCAGCUAAUGACCAUAGGCUUGCCCUUAAUGUAGUACUCCACUAAAUGUCGGAAUGUUAAGGUUAGGAUCAAGUAGGUCUUUUGAUGGUUGUAAUGUAGGCUAAGGGACGGGUAGGAUCAACUAUUUUGGCCAGAAAUAGUGACUAAGUUCCUAAGCACUUUAAUACAUCACAUUGUAUUAUUGACACUUUUUUGUAGCACCCUUGUUCUCCUCUUUUGUUUUUCAAUUUUAAAGCACAACUCACUUUUCAGCUUUCUUUUCCUUUUUCUUCUCACAACAUACCUCUUAUGAUAGCACUUUCUUUUUCAUAACAUAUUCAAGCACCAUUACAAUUUAAAGCAUCAUACUCAACCAAUUUCCUCUUAUGUUGUCACAUGACUUUUUCACUUUAAAGCACUUAGGAAUUUGGAUCAAAUUACGGUCUUGAAAAAAAAAUGAAUUAGGCUUACAUACAAGGUUGUCAAAGAAAUAGGCUAAAGGCUCAAAAGGGUUUAACUAGGAUGAUGUCCAUGGGUAGGUAAAACUGAAGGUAAACAAAUAUAGGUUGCCAAAGAAAUGCCUAAAUCAUAUCCUAAACUUACACUCCUUAUUUUCGCUUUGCAUACAUACCAGGCAAGUUCUAGCAUCAGCCACAUACAUAGAAUAUACUAUUAUCUCACACACACAAGGCACAUGGUCGACUUGAUUGGUAGCAAUAUAGACUCUCAACCCAACAAGUGAAGGAAUUGAAUCACACACUAUCACAUAAUGAGUCACAACUAGAGCCUAAAUGUCUCAAUAGUCACAAUUGUAAUACAUACUAUUGUUAUAAUCUCAUGCUGCCUAUUAAAAUAAUUUCAUGCGAGGCUAGAAAAAUUUUAACUACUAAAAACUAAAAAAAAAACGUCACACGAAAAAAAUCACAAAAAAAAAUCGGACUCAAAACAAAAUAAAUAAAACAAAAUAAACAAGCAAACAUACAAAUAUAGCAUGCAGAUUCUGCCGACACCCCACACUUAGACUAGACACUGCCCUCAGUGGAAAAUAAAGUCGAAGAACCUGAUUAGUCGGACUCUUCCUCAAUGUCAUACCCCCUUCGUUCGAGUCAUCGUAAGAGUCAUCGUCAGAGUUCUCCUCAGCAUCAGAAUCAGGCAAGCGUCUAUCAUCAUCAGUUGGCACGUCAUCAUCAAGAGGUUCCUCGAAAUAUACUCCCACUCCACACAUCUCCCGGGCAUGUCUGUUCAUUGGGUAGUCGUGGUCCAGCUGUUGGAGCUCUUCAGCAGUUGGAAUACGUCCACCACUCAUCAUAGUGAAUCUCGUCAUGCCAUAGAGAUGACGGAAGAAACUCUCGUCACGAGCAUGUCUCUCCGCAGUGGUAAGGUUGACUCCAUGCGUUGUUUCAGCAUCUUUGACCUUGGUGAGGUCAACCUUCUUUGGGGUAUGUGGGAGUUUGUGGUCAGCUGGUUCCUCCUCUAUAUCCUCCUUCCGCAACAUUGCUGUCAACAAAUUGCCGAAUGUGAAAUAGGACCAUUCACAUUCACAUCAGUCUGGCUUUCCUCAUGGUGGAUCGAAUGAUUGCCCCAAAGUUGAUAGGGACAUUCGUCAUUAAUGAAUAAACCAGGCACACUCUAUCUCUCGAUAUCUUUGUGUAUUGCGUCCCAGGAAUGAGGCAUGAGUUGACAAUGCGCAUCCAGAUUCUUGCUUCCCUAUUUAGUGGAGCAUAGGGGAAUGUGUUGUGACGGCCUGUUUCCUUAUGUCUGCCCCAUCUCGCCAUCGAUCUGCUUCCACAAAGCGUGUGUCUUAUAGCUCUGUAAGGAGGUCUGCUGUACAGCUCUUUGUAUGGUGCAGUGUCGACCGAAGGUAGGCCUAGAAACGAGUUGAUCCAAUCCGCUGUAAGCUGUAACACUUGGCCCCGAAUUUUGACUUCGUUGCCUGUUGUGUUUGGCGACCAGUUGGCAUAAAACUCUCUUGUCAAGUCAAGAUUGCACUCUCCCAUGUCACGGAAGAUGAAAUCCAGCUUCAAAGCCAUAAUCUUAGCCAACAUUUGCGGCUCCUUCUUUGCUAAGGUCUCCUUAUUGAUUAAGUCGACGUGCACAUAUUUCUUUUCUUUGUUGCUGCUGUACCAUGCCUUGGCUUCUUCCUCAAGAACCCAUUUGAUUCCGAACAUUCUGCGUGGUAGGUGUGCGGAAGAUGAUUCGCCUUGGUCUUUUCGGCUUCUCUUUUUGUCCUUGCGGGUUGUGGUAGCCUUCUCCUUGCCUUGCCUUGCUUUCGGUGCCAUUGUACCGCCUUUACCAUACAACGCGACCAAAUCGUCAAUUGAAAUCAAUCUCCUCGUUGCAUACUUCUUACACCUAUAUUUGCUCAAACAAAUGAAAACGAUUAGUACGAUGGGUUGCCUCCCACCAAGCGCCUUAGUUUUGGUCGUGGCACGACUCUUAUUUUUGGAUUUUCAUUUAUCAAAAAGAAAAAAUACUAAAACGACAAAACGAUAAAACAAUAAAACGAAGGGUUGCCUCCCAUCUAGCGCCUUAUUUAUUGUCGUGGCUCGACGUAGUAAUCUCGAGUACUUAGACUUCGUCGAGAUAAGUGAUGGCCAUGUCAUUUAUCGAGUCAAGAGGACCGAUAUAUGGCUUAACACGUUGGCCAUUCACCUUGAAGAUAACACCCUCAUUAUUUUCCAAUUCGACUACUCCAAACGAGUAGACGUGGGUGACUUUAAAUGGACCAGACCACUUUGAUUUUAACUUACCUGGGAAGAGCUUGAAUCUGGAGUUAAAGAGUAGCACCAUGUCACCUUUUUGGAAGUGUCGUCGAACAAUCCGCUGAUCGUGAUACUUCUUCAUCCGCUCCUUGUAUAAAUCUGAUCUUUCAUAAGCAUGGAGACGGAAUUCAUCUAGCUCGUUCAGCUGCUCCAACCUCAGGUUCUUCACAUCAUCCCAAUUCAGAUUCAAGUGCUUCAAUGCCCAUAAUGCCUUGUAUUCAAGCUCGAUGGGUAGAUGACAAGCCUUCCCAUAAACUAGCUGAUAAGGUGACAUGCCAAUGGGUGUCUUGAAUGCAGUCCUAUACGCCCAUAGUGCAUCAUCUAGCUUCCGAGACCAAUCCUUCCGAUUCGCAUUGACCGUCUUGGCAAGGAUUUGCUUGAUCUCCCGAUUGGAAACCUCUACUUGUCCACUAGUUUGGGGAUGAUAAGGCGUAGCUACCUUGUGUUGCUUGACUCCAUACUUGGCCAAUACAGAUUUGAAUAGCUUGUUGCAGAAGUGAGAUCCUCCAUCACUUAUGAUAGUACGAGGUACCCCAAAGCGAGAGAAGAUAUUCUUCUUUAAAAACGCUACAACACGCUUUCCUUCAUUAUCGGCCAAUGCUACAGCUUCAACCCAUUUCGACACAUAAUCCACAGCAACCAAGAUGUACUUCAUUCCAAACGAAUUUACGAAUGGUCCCAUGAAAUCAAUACCCCAUACAUCAAAGAGUUCUACCUCCAGGAUUGUGGACAUGGGCAUUUCAUGGUGUUUUGAAAUAACACCUUGACGUUGGCAUUGGUCACACCUUCUCACAUAGUCGUGUGCAUCUCUGAAUAUUGUAGGCCAAUAAUAACCACUUUGCAAGACUUUUCUUGCUGUUCGAUUACCCGCAUGAUGUCCUCCAACUUGCGAAGUGUGGCAUGCUUCUAAUAUAGUGGGCACUUCGUCAUGGGAUAUACAUCGUCGAAUGAUACCAUCCGCACAUCUUCGAAACAAAUAAGGCUCAUCCCAAUAAUAGUGCUGAACGUCAUGCAUAAACUUCCUCCUCUGGUGGUAAGAUAAAUUUGUAGGUAACACAUUACUCACCACGAAAUUCGCAAAGUCGGCAUACCAUGGUAAGUCUUCUAUUGUUGUCGCUAAUAUCUCCUCGUCAGGGAAUGCAUCGCCAAUCUGAUUUUCUGAUUGCGCCACAUACUCAUUCUCAAGUCUAGAUAGGUGAUCAGCCACUUGGUUCUCGCAACCUCUUCUAUCUUUGACUUCGAAAUCAAACUCUUGCAGCAGCAACACCCAUCGAAUCAGCCUUGGUUUUGCAUCCUUCUUUGUCAUUAGAUACCUAAGAGCUGCAUGGUCUGUAUGAACGAUCACUUUAGUACCUAAUAGGUAGGCGCGGAACUUCUCAAACGCAUACACAACCGCUAAUAGCUCUUGUUCAGUGACGGUGUAGUUCCUUUGGGCUUCAUUGAGGACCUUACUCGCAUAGUAGAUAGGAUGAAAUAAUUUCUCCUUUCUCUGUCCAAGAACAGCACCAACGGCUACACCACUAGCAUCACACAUGACUUCGAACGGGAGCGUCCAAUCUGGUGUUACCAUGAUAGGGGCUUCAACGAGUUUUUCUUUAAGGCAUUCAAAUGCCUUUAAGCAAUCAUCAUUAAAGUCAAACUUCGCAUCUUUCUCCAAUAGCUUGCAUAAUGGACUAGAAAUUUUGGAGAAGUCUUUGAUGAAUCUACGAUAAAACCCAGCAUGGCCAAGAAAACUACGAACUCCCUUCACCGAAAUUGGAGGUGGUAGCUUCUCAAUUACCUCUAUUUUGGCGCGAUCAACCUCUAUUCCUUUUUCGGAGAUCUUGUGCCCAAGAACAAUUCCUUCUUUUACCAUGAAGUGGCACUUCUCCCAAUUCAGCACAAGGUUGAACUCUACACAUCUUUGUAAUGCCAUGCUUAAAUUCACCAAACAUGCUUCGAAAGACUCCCCAACAACUGAAAAGUCGUCCAUAAAUACCUCCAAAGUGUCUUCUACCAUAUCAGAGAAAAUAGACAUCAUACAUCGCUGAAAGGUGGCUGGUGCAUUACAUAACCCGAAUGGCAUACGUUUGAAGGCAAACGUACCAUAUGGGCAUGUAAACGUUGUCUUCUCUUGGUCUUCUGGUGCAAUAAAAAUCUGAUUAUAACCUGAAUAACCAUCAAGAAAGCAAAACCAUCCUUUUCCCGCUAAUCGAUCUAGCAUUUGGUCCAUAAAUGGCAUGGGGAAGUGAUCCUUGAGAGUCCAAGAAUUCAGCUUGCGGUAGUCCAUGCAUACUCUCCAUCCAGUGACGGGCCUGAGUGGAAUAAGCUCAUUCUUUGCAUUCGCAACCACCGUCAUACCUCCUUUCUUGGGAACACAUUGUACUGGGCUUACCCAUGUACUAUCAGAAAUAGGAUACACAACUCCUGCGUCUAACCACUUGAUAAUCUCCUUCUUCACCACCUCUUGCAUUGGUGGGUUUAGACGUCUUUGGUGUUCGAUGGUGGGUGUGCACUUUUCUUGGAGCUGAAUUUUAUGAGUGCAAAUUCCAGGUGGAAUACCAAGGAUAUCCGCAAUGGUCCAUCCAAUAGCUCUAAUAUACUUGCGUAAAAUUGCAAUAAGAGCUGCAACUUGUUGCUCACCUAAAUCGGCUGCCACUAUGACUGGAAGAGUGUUUCCGCUUCCUAAGAAUGCAUACUUCAAAUGGCUUGGCAGCUCCUUUAAUUCUAAUGUGGGUGGUUCUUCAAUAGAUGGCUUAGCUGGUGGUGUGGGUCGAUUCUUGAGAUCAAGAUCCAGCUUCUUAGGAGGAUAGCGAUAUGCUCCUAAUCCCGAUAGAGCACAAAUAUCAUCUUCAGAAAUUUCAGCAUCAUCAUCAUCUUCUUCCAUGAGCAAAACCUCCAAAGGAUCAUCAAGAAUUUGUUCUUCAGCAAGUAACUCAUCCUCGUCAUCAACGACAACAUCAGUCACAGAAAAUACACUUAGAUCUUUGGGUUGCUUCAUUGAUUUGCAAACAUCAAAGCGCACCACUUCAUCAUUUAUUCGGAAUGAAAGUUCAUUAGCUCUCAAAUCUAUGAGCACACUUCCCGUAGCAAGGAAAGGGCGUCCCAAGAUUAUGGGAACCUCUGAAUCUGCUUCGCAAUCCAAGAUGACAAAGUCUGCUGGAAAUAUGAAUGAAGAUACCUUCACCAAGACAUCGCAUAGAAUACCAACCGGUCGUUUUACCGACCUAUCCGCCAUAACAAGCUUCAUAUUAGUUGGUGUAGGAUCUCCCAACCCCAACUUCUUGUAGAUUGAUAAUGGCAUCAAGUUGAUGCUGGCUCCUAAGUCACAUAAUGCUUUAGCAAAGUCCAAAGAUCCGACGGUGCAAGGAAUAGUGAAAGCUCCGGGGUCGGCCUUCUUCUGAACUAUGGAUCGGGUAGCUAUUGCACUACAAUGAUGCACAUCUUCUUUCAGCUCAUAGCUUGCUGCCCUCUUCUUAGUCAAAAGAUCUUUCAUAAACUUCGCAUACCCAGGCAUUUGUUCAAGUGCCUCUACCAAUGGGACAUUAAUAGUCAGCUGCUUCAAGAUGGUCAUGAACUUGCUGAACUUAGUGUCAUCGGCCGCCUUCUUCAGUCUUUGUGGAAAAGGUGGUGGUGGGUAUGGAAGUGUUCUUUCCAUGGCUUUCUUCUCCUCUUGCUUCCGUUUAUUACUUUUUUCAGGCUGCACGUCACUAGGCAACACGUCCUUGACGUUGGAAGUGGAUAUUGCGGCGUCUUCCCUAGUGGCGUCACUAGGUGUGGCGGUUGUGUCUGCUGUUCUGUCAACUAUUUGCUUGCCUUCUGCUGAAGUUUCCAGCACCUUACCACUCCUCGUAGUGAUGGCCAUGCAUGACCCAUCAGUCCUUGGAUUUUGCACCGUAUCGCUAGGCAAGGUGCCGGCUUUUCUUUGGUUGAGUGUUGCUGAAAGUUGACUGAAUUGCUGCUCUAGUUGCUUGAUAGAAGUGGAAUGAGAAUCAACUAAUUGCUUCAUGGAGGCCAAAUCGUCAAUCACCUCCUUAACUCCCGCAUUCGUCGCUUCCACUCCUUUCAAUAACUUAGCCAUCAUGUCUUCCAUAGAAUUAGAUGUGGUGGUAUCACGUCUACCAGGGGGAACGUACAAACCACUGUUUUCAUUAUUUUUCUUCCAACUACCUUGGUCUUUACCUCCAGAUUUGUCAUAAUAGUUCCGACCUUGGUUUCCUUGGGCAUUCCCACGGAAACCCCCCUGAUUGUUCAAGUAGUUGGCCUCCUCUUCUGAAUCAGAUUCGUCUCUUCCUUUUGACGCAAUAGAUUUCACUUUUUCAGUCUUCCCUAAUAGAUGCUUUGUAAGAAGAUCCAUUUGGGUUUUCAUGUGCGCCAUAUCUUGAUCACGUUCUUCUUCUCUCCUUCUUUGAUCUGCAGACAUGCCAAUAGAUAAAGUGGGGCUUGCUACCUCAGAAUCCCUGGUAUGCCAAGCUCUACUUUGUUUCGUCAUACGAUCUAGCAUGUUGCUUGCUUGACCAAAGGUGAGGUCCAUAAAAGAACCUCCAGCUGCGUUGUCCACCACUGGUUUAGUUACUGAAUUCAAGGCUCUAUAUAAGAUCUCCAUGAGGUGAACAUUAGUCAUGUGAUGGUUUGGGCAUCUCGCUAGCUUUGUCUUGAACCUCUCCCAUGUUUCGUGAAGAGCUUCAGAGGGAAGCUGACGAAAGUUGCUGAUUUCAUCUCUCAAUUGAGCCCUCUUGGAUGGCGGAAAGAAUCUUUCUAGGAAAGCGUCUCUCAAUUGCCUCCAAUUUGUAAUAGAAUCAGGAGUCAGCCCAUUCAACCAUAAUGUUGCCUCCCCAGACAGAGACAAUGGAAAUAGACGUAAUCGAAUAGCAUUCUGACCAACUCCAGGAUUGUCAAAAGACUUGCAUGUAGAAAUAAAGUUGAUGAGAUGCAUAUUCGGAUCAUCGCCUGCUAGUCCACCAAAUAAUCCCUUGAGUUGCAAUAACUGAAUCAUGGUGCUAGUGAUGUUGAACUUGGCUCCGGGCGCUAAUGGUGGUGGAAUUAUAGCUCCAGUGGCUCCGGCACCAUCAAGAUCAUCAUCAUCAUCGUCGAAAGCUGGUUGCAAAGGUUGGCGAUCAUAUCUGUACCGAGCUUGUCGACCUCGUCUGUUGGUAGGUGUUGCCAUUUCAGCGCCAUGCCUUGGGUUGAUCAACUCGUCAUCUCCUAAAUCUUCAUCGUCAGGAUUUGUUGCUCGUCCAGGAUUAUCAAUGUUUUGUUGUUGGACUUGAGCAGCGGCAAGAGCAGCUAAUCUUGCUUGCUCAUGUUGAGCAGCCAUCCUGUCGAUUUCCGCUUGUGCUUCCAUUCUUCUGAUUCGUUGUGGUUCCGGAUUGAUUGGUAAUAACGGUUGACCAGAACUUCUAGUAUGGGGCAUGCACUAAAAGAAAAACCUGCAAUAAACAAAAACAAAAACUAAACGUAAAAGUACGAGAAUCUUUGACCAAAGGGUCUAGUAAUUUUCACGAACUUGAUUGACACUCGUAUUCCCCGGCAACGGCGCCAAUUUUUGAUAACGCUCAAUCUACAGCUCUCGUGGGAGUGUAAAGCGGUCGUUAGCAAAUAUAGAACCCAACCUGGGUUGGGUAUCGAUCCCACAGAGAAUAGCUUGGCCAACAAGCAAGAAAAAUUACUAGACUUUUAGUGCAAGUCUCGUAGGAAAGGGGGGAUUGUAGUAUGUAACCAAAACAAGAAUGUAAGAACUGAAAAUAGCAAAAUAAAGAGAGAUUGUCACGUGUGUUGUAAACAAUGAGAAUUGAGGCGUUGGGGUUAUGUCCACCUUCUGAGGUAUACGUCUCUAUUGGCUAUGAGUGUGUAGAGUCUUGACAUGUAAUUGCUUAUAGAGAAUUGUAGUCGAUGGUAAAUCCAAGCGUCUCUCGACCUAAACAAGGACUAUUUCACUUUAACUCUCUCGAGCUUAAAGCGUGACUAACGGUACGAAUUCUCCAAGAAGUUAGUCCAGGUACGGCACUAGCUUUUUAAUAGGAAAGGGUGUCCUACUACCUUGACAUUAUCUCUUUUCCAGACAAAUAACUUUUCUCUCGAACAAGUCAGAUGUUAGACUGGCGUUGGUCUAUGCGUCUUCUUUUCUAGACAAAUAACCUUUCUCUCGAACAGGUUAGAUGUUAGAAUGGCGUGUUCUUGUGUUUGAACCGCAAAGAAUGUAGAUUUAAGAUGAAGAGAAUAAUGAUAUAAGCAAUAUACUUGUCUUGAACUCACAAACUCAUAGCUAUAGAUAGUAACUCAUUCGGCUUCCAUAACCCCAACUAAGAGAUUUAGUUACCCAUGAAUGCGAAGGAUAUCACGUUUUGCAUGGUGGAUGGCGUGAAUAGUAGGUGUUUGGCGUGUGGUUUUAGUGAUUCCGUAGCAAGUAACGAUUCUCUUGUUGUGGAAUUUAAGAGUAGAAGAAUGAAGAAUUGAGAAUGGGCUGUAGGAAGAUGUCUUAAUUGUAAGGAGAUGAAUGAAUUGUCAGAAUGUCUCCCCC
Molecule: long non-coding RNA, 10535 nt
Filed under: Capsicum annuum
Lineage: Eukaryota; Viridiplantae; Streptophyta; Magnoliopsida; Solanales; Solanaceae
Description: long non-coding RNA (CANN_LNC007973)
Source: RNAcentral